RNAcentral lists this ribosomal RNA (528 nucleotides) under uncultured soil bacterium. RNAcentral's name for it is "bacterial SSU rRNA". It matches the Rfam family "Bacterial small subunit ribosomal RNA", at positions 26 to 527 of the family's 1533-position model. The record is from RNAcentral.
AGAUUGAACGCUGGCGGCAGGCCUAACACAUGCAAGUCGAGCGGCAGCACGGGUACUUGUACCUGGUGGCGAGCGGCGGACGGGUGAGUAAUGCCUAGGAAUCUGCCUGAUAGUGGGGGAUAACGUUCGGAAACGGACGCUAAUACCGCAUACGUCCUACGGGAGAAAGUGGGGGAUCUUCGGACCUCACGCUAUCAGAUGAGCCUAGGUCGGAUUAGCUAGUUGGUAGGGUAAAGGCCUACCAAGGCUACGAUCCGUAACUGGUCUGAGAGGAUGAUCAGUCACACUGGAACUGAGACACGGUCCAGACUCCUACGGGAGGCAGCAGUGGGGAAUAUGGACAAUGGGCGAAAGCCUGAUCCAGCCCAUGCCGCGUGUGUGAAAGAACGGUCUUCGGAUUGUAAAAACACUUUAAAGUUAGGGUAGGAAGGGACGAGUUAAACCUAAUAACGUUAGUUAGUUUGUACGUUACCGAACGAGAAUAAGACACCGGACUAACCUACUGUUGCCAGCAGACGCGGUACUACG